AUCGGCGGCGCGGUUUGGCACCUCGAUGUCGGCCCAUCGCAUCCUGGGGCUGGAGCAGGUCCCAAGGGUUCGGCUGUUCGCCGAUUAAAGCGGUACGCGAGCUGGGUUUAAAACGUCGUGAGACAGUUUGGUCCCUAUCUUCCGUGGGCGUAGGACACUUGAGAGGAGCUGCCCAUAGUACGAGAGGACCUGGGUGGACGUACCUCUGGUGUUCCGGUUGUCACGCCAGUGGCAUAGCCGGGUAGCCAUGUACGGAACGGAUAACCGCUGAAAGCAUAUAAGCGGGAAGCCGGCCUCAAGACUAGGUGUCCCUGCCGCAAGGCACUAAAGGCCCCUCGUAGACUACGAGGUUGAUAGGCCGGGUGUGGAAGCGCUGCAAAGCGCGGAGCUAACCGGUCCUAAUAGGCCGUGCGGCUUGAUCAU
This 423-nucleotide ribosomal RNA is filed under the name Polyangiaceae bacterium. Its description in RNAcentral is "partial 23S ribosomal RNA". It matches the Rfam family "Bacterial large subunit ribosomal RNA", at positions 2504 to 2925 of the family's 2925-position model. Lineage: Bacteria; Pseudomonadati; Myxococcota; Polyangiales; Polyangiaceae. The record is from RNAcentral.